This 253-nucleotide ribosomal RNA is filed under the name uncultured bacterium. RNAcentral's name for it is "partial 16S ribosomal RNA". It matches the Rfam family "Bacterial small subunit ribosomal RNA", at positions 524 to 776 of the family's 1533-position model. The record is from RNAcentral.
AACGUAGGAGGCAAGCGUCAUCCGGAGUUACUGGGCGUAAAGCGCGUGUAGGUGGGUUAGUAAGUUACUUAUAAAAGCCCCUGGCUAAACUGGGGGAGGUUGAGUGAUACUGCCAGUCUUGAAUAGAGGAGAGGUUGACGGAAUUCCGCGUGUAGUGGUGAAAUGCGUAGAGAUGCGGAAGAACACCAGUGGCGAAGGCGGUCAACUGGCCUCAUAUUGACACUCGGACGCGAAGGCAUGGGUAGCGAACGGG